Molecule: small nucleolar RNA, 121 nt
Organism: Oryctolagus cuniculus (rabbit)
Lineage: Eukaryota; Metazoa; Chordata; Mammalia; Lagomorpha; Leporidae
Source: Ensembl
AGGUCAUUAUCAAGGUUUUUAGAAUGCAAUUUCUCAUUUGCUGUGGACAUGACCAUAAAAAAAUUUUCCACUUGGAUUUCUCUCUGCUAUCUUGCUAGUAAUUAGCCUAUUGGGAACAAUU